This 849-nucleotide ribosomal RNA is filed under the name uncultured bacterium. RNAcentral describes it as "bacterial SSU rRNA". It matches the Rfam family "Bacterial small subunit ribosomal RNA", at positions 58 to 916 of the family's 1533-position model. The record is from RNAcentral.
CAAGUCGAACGGUGAACACGGAGCUUGCUCUGUGGGAUCAGUGGCGAACGGGUGAGUAACACGUGAGCAACCUGCCCCUGACUCUGGGAUAAGCGCUGGGAACGGCGUCUAAUACUGGAUAUGUGACGUGACCGCAUGGUCUGCGUCUGGAAAGAAUUUCGGUUGGGGAUGGGCUCGCGGCCUAUCAGCUUGUUGGUGAGGUAAUGGCUCACCAAGGCGUCGACGGGUAGCCGGCCUGAGAGGGUGACCGGCCACACUGGGACUGAGACACGGCCCAGACUCCUACGGGAGGCAGCAGUGGGGAAUAUUGCACAAUGGGCGCAAGCCUGAUGCAGCAACGCCGCGUGAGGGACGACGGCCUUCGGGUUGUAAACCUCUUUUAGCAGGGAAGAAGCGAAAGUGACGGUACCUGCAGAAAAAGCGCCGGCUAACUACGUGCCAGCAGCCGCGGUAAUACGUAGGGCGCAAGCGUUAUCCGGAAUUAUUGGGCGUAAAGAGCUCGUAGGCGGUUUGUCGCGUCUGCUGUGAAAUCCGGAGGCUCAACCUCCGGCCUGCAGUGGGUACGGGCAGACUAGAGUGCGGUAGGGGAGAUUGGAAUUCCUGGUGUAGCGGUGGAAUGCGCAGAUAUCAGGAGGAACACCGAUGGCGAAGGCAGAUCUCUGGGCCGUAACUGACGCUGAGGAGCGAAAGGGUGGGGAGCAAACAGGCUUAGAUACCCUGGUAGUCCACCCCGUAAACGUUGGGAACUAGUUGUGGGGUCCAUUCCACGGAUUCCGUGACGCAGCUAACGCAUUAAGUUCCCCGCCUGGGGAGUACGGCCGCAAGGCUAAAACUCAAAGGAAUUGACGG